CAGCCGCCGCGGGAAAACCGAGGGUGCAAGCGUUAAUCGGAUUUACUGGGCGUAAAGGGCGCGUAGGUGGUUAUGUAAGUGAGAUGUGAAAUCCCCGGGCUCAACCUGGGAACUGCAUCUUAUACUGCGUAGCUGGAGUGCAGUAGAGGGUAGUGGAAUUUCCGGUGUAGCGGUGAAAUGCGUAGAUAUCGGAAGGAACACCAGUGGCGAAGGCGGCUACCUGGACUGACACUGACACUGAGGCGCGAAAGCGUGGGGAGCAAACAGGAUUAGAUACCCCGGUAGUCCCUGUCUCUUAUAA
This 301-nucleotide ribosomal RNA is filed under the name uncultured bacterium. RNAcentral's name for it is "partial 16S ribosomal RNA". It matches the Rfam family "Bacterial small subunit ribosomal RNA", at positions 509 to 809 of the family's 1533-position model. The record is from RNAcentral.